Molecule: transfer RNA, 75 nt
Filed under: Apilactobacillus kunkeei
Lineage: Bacteria; Bacillati; Bacillota; Bacilli; Lactobacillales; Lactobacillaceae
Description: tRNA-Thr
Rfam family: tRNA
About the family: Transfer RNA (tRNA) molecules are approximately 80 nucleotides in length.
Source: RNAcentral
UGCUUGUUUAGCUCAACUGGUAGAGCAUAUGUCUUGUAAACAUAAGGUAGCAAGUUCAAGUCUUGCAACAAGCAU